ACUUGCUUUGGCCAAAGACUUUCUGAACUCAAUCUUGCAAAUCAUAUAGGACUUCUUCUUUUCUAUCAAGAUCGAUGGAUUCCAUCUAAAUGCAUUCUACUCUAAAUAGCGGACCUAAACCUACUGAAGCCAACAUACACAGCAAGGGUCCGAAUGGUUAGGGAUCAAUAAAACAUGCAAUCAAACUCAGUAGUCUCAUUGCGAAUAGCCAAUGACACCAC
This 221-nucleotide long non-coding RNA is filed under the name Elaeis guineensis (African oil palm). Its description in RNAcentral is "long non-coding RNA (EGUI_LNC064282)". Lineage: Eukaryota; Viridiplantae; Streptophyta; Magnoliopsida; Arecales; Arecaceae. The record is from RNAcentral.